RNAcentral lists this long non-coding RNA (1111 nucleotides) under Phascolarctos cinereus (koala). Its description in RNAcentral is "lncRNA (ENSPCIG00000015467.2)". The record is from RNAcentral. Lineage: Eukaryota; Metazoa; Chordata; Mammalia; Diprotodontia; Phascolarctidae.
AGGGAAGUCUUGACAAAGUUGGGCGAAGGGAAGCUGCUGAGGAGCCCUGAGGGGCAGUUCAGGAAAUUAAUUCUAUGAGAUCGCAAGGGGGAGGAGGAUAGGAAAGGGGGCACUCAGACGGCUGAAUGGGGAAGGGGAACAGCCCAGGGAGAGCGCCCACGCGGAAUCUCCUCCAGGGCUACAAAGAAAGAUAUUGCUCUCAAUGGUGCCCAGAGACAUCUCACAUCUUCCAGCACAUUAAAGAACCACCCAAACCAUUCUCCAUGGGCUCUCCAGGUCAUUCCAAGAUUUUACUGCAUUGCUGCAGAACACCGCCACCUUUCUUGCCAGCUGGGGCUCCAUUACAAUGAAUCAGCAGCAAUGUUGGCAGCUGGGGUCGCUAAAUGUGAACGCUGGGGAUGGUGCUUACGUGGCAGAGGUGGAGAUGGAAUGAUUUGGAGAGGGUAACUAAUAAUAUACAACAUCUGAUGCAGAAGUGUUGCCAAUGAUUAAUUCUUAUAUUUUCCUCGUGUCUCAGGACAAGACAGUAAUACAUUGUGGUGAUGGAAUUGGUUGCACUGCAUUGAAUUUUAAAGAAAAAUAGAAAGGGAAGUAUUCAGUUUCAUUAGACCAGGUUCAAAUUUCUCCCUGACUUCUAUUUCAGCCUUCUGCUUCAGGGUCUAACUGGCCUGCCUGCGGCACCAUAUGCUUGCAUUUGACAUUGGUUUUACUAAUACCUUUGGAAAUAUAGAGCUAGAAGGAUUAUAUUGUAAAUCCUGAGAAGUAGAGUGUUACCGUGGGAAGGGCAAUGGAUUUGGAGUUCUGCUACUUAGGACCUGUGUGACCUUGAGUAAGUACUUAACCUCUUUGGGCCUCAACUUCCCCAUUUAUAAAAUGAAGGGGUUAGACUACAUGGCCUGAAAAGUCCCAUCCAGCUCUGAAUUUAUAAUUCUGUGACCUUCUCAUAUAUGUCUGUAAGGAACAGAGCUGGGAUUUGAACCCAGGCUGUUUAACUCCAAAGACUCAGCAUUUGUUUGAUUUCCCAACACUAUUUUCAAGGUGAAAAAGCUUUUUCAGUCAAAGUUAAGUGACAAAAGGUAACUUAGUCACCAAUAACUAUCUUGAAGCGGGC